This 465-nucleotide ribosomal RNA is filed under the name Vreelandella stevensii. RNAcentral describes it as "partial 16S ribosomal RNA". It matches the Rfam family "Bacterial small subunit ribosomal RNA", at positions 338 to 795 of the family's 1533-position model. The record is from RNAcentral. Lineage: Bacteria; Pseudomonadati; Pseudomonadota; Gammaproteobacteria; Oceanospirillales; Halomonadaceae.
CCUACGGGUGGCUGAAGUGGGGAAUAUUGGACAAUGGGGGCAACCCUGAUCCAGCCAUGCCGCGUGUGUGAAGAAGGCCCUCGGGUUGUAAAGCACUUUCAGUGAGGAAGAACGCCUGGUGGUUAAUACCCAUCAGGAAAGACAUCACUCACAGAAGAAGCACCGGCUAACUCCGUGCCAGCAGCCGCGGUAAUACGGAGGGUGCGAGCGUUAAUCGGAAUUACUGGGCGUAAAGCGCGCGUAGGUGGCUUGAUAAGCCGGUUGUGAAAGCCCCGGGCUCAACCUGGGAACGGCAUCCGGAACUGUCAAGCUAGAGUGCAGGAGAGGAAGGUAGAAUUCCCGGUGUAGCGGUGAAAUGCGUAGAGAUCGGGAGGAAUACCAGUGGCGAAGGCGGCCUUCUGGACUGACACUGACACUGAGGUGCGAAAGCGUGGGUAGCAAACAGGAUUAGAUACCCCAGUAGUC